UCUGUAUGUGUGUAUCAGUAUGUAUUGGUGGGUAUUGGUCUGUGUGUGUGUAUUGGUAUGUAUGUGUGUAUUGGUGUGUAUUGGUAUGUAUGUGUGUAUUGGUGUGUAUUGGUAUGUAUGUGUGUAUUGGUAUGUAUUGGUGUGUAUUAGUGUGUAUUGGUAUGUAUUAGUGUGUAUUGGAAUGUAUGUGUAUUAGUGUGUAUUGGAAUGUAUGUGUAUUAGUGUGUAUUGGUAUGUAUGUGUGUAUUAGUGUGUAUUGGUAUGUAUUGGUGUGUAUUAGUGUGUAUUACUGUGUACUGGUAUGUAUGUGUGUAUUAGUGUGUGUAUGUGUGUAUUGGUCUGUAUGUGUGUAUCAGUAUGUAUUGGUGGGUAUUGGUCUGUGUGUGUGUAUUGGUAUGUAUGUGUGUAUUGGUGUGUAUUGGUAUGUAUGUGUGUAUUGGUGUGUAUUAGUGUGUAUUGGUGUGUAUUAGUGUGUAUUGGUAUGUAUGUGUGUAUUGGUGUGUAUUAGUGUGUAUUGGUAUGUAUGUGUGUAUGGUUGUGUAUUGAUGUGUAUUGGUAUGUAU
This is a long non-coding RNA of Ictalurus punctatus (channel catfish), 563 nucleotides long. The record is from Ensembl. Lineage: Eukaryota; Metazoa; Chordata; Actinopteri; Siluriformes; Ictaluridae.